ACGCGGAGGAGAAGGAAAGUCGCUCAAGCAGUGGACAGAGCGGAGAAAGCGACUUCGGCCGCAGAGAGAAGAAGCUGCCCAAGAAUGGAAAGGAAGAAAUAUAUCACAUCAUCUGUCUGUCCACAGGCUUUCCUUGGGGCUUAUGAAGUGAAUGAAGGAGGGAAGAAAGGAGAGACAGAGAAAAUAUGGAUUUCCUCAUGGUUGUGAUUCCUCUUCACUCUUUUGAAUUUGGAAGGAUGGCAUACACAUCUGAAAAAUACCACUACUUCCUUCAUUGGACUGCAAGGUAUUUCUGUUUGGAAAAGUAAUGGAGUCCAGUCAACUUCAUUGAUCGCCAAGGACUGUCAAAAUUAUAAAACUUGCUGUGGAGCUCUGACAUGCCAGAAGCCGCUAGAAAAAGAAGUUUGACAUUCAGAAACUUAUCAAGAGGUUCUACUCUUUGGAUAGAGACCAAAAUCAUACUUUGAAAAAGCCUGACAGGUUUCUUCGGAAAAGUGGCCAUCCAUGGAAUGAAUGAAAUGUUCUCUUUCUAUUCCAGGGAUUGCAGUGGCAAAGCUAGGCUAGGUCUUGGAGGCUGGUGUAAGGCGAUGUGGGUGAAGGCAGGAGGCUGAUGGAAAGACUGGGGGGAAGAAAAGCCGAAAUGGAUUCACGGUGCCUUGGAUGAAGGACGAGAGGGGAACUGCAAGCUCCUUCAACUGGUUCUGUCCGGUGAGAAGUGAUCAAGCUUGGGCUGACAAGAGGCUCAGGGAGCCCUCACGUUCUUUCGCUUUUUUACCUGCCAAUCAAACUGCUACAAGACAACACCCUGAUCUGGCAUGGACAUCGCGGGUCCAAGCCUGUAGCCCCAAAUCGGAUAAUCUCUGCAGCUGAUAACAAGCAAAAGAGAAGCCAGGCAACAGCCAUAUUAAAGAAGAAAACAAUCAACUCUGAGAUCCAACUUAGAAAUAAUGUUUCAUUCAAGAUAAGGCUCGUGGCUUAGGAGAUUGUGACCUGGCUUGCAUCAUUCUAAGACUUCUAUCGUCUGUUUUCAAAACCCAAGGAGGACCUCCUUUUCUGUGUGAUAGUUCCUCAUGCUUUGCCAGCCACUGGGUCUUUAAGGAAGCUUGCCAAGAGUUCCCGGCUGGGAAGGACAGUUCGAGUUCAUCAUAGACAAUGAGCUGGCACCACAGUUUAAGUGACUCACCAACCUGGUUGCCCACUUCAAAAUGUCAAGAACCACACUAUCUAAUUGAAAGAACUGUGUUUUAGCAAAGUGUAAUUGGAUCGCCUGGCAAGAUCAUCUCAAACUAUGUCUCUGACCUUGCCUUUCAGUGGCUAUUUUGAGCACAAGAGGAGAAAGGAAAUGAUUCCUGAAUUAUAUCUUGUUUUUAAAAAUUAAGAUUAAUUAAUACUUGGUUUUAUGUUCAUUCCAUUGUAGGAACUUAGUGAUUAUUACAAAACAGUCAAAAUAGGUCAUAGCAAAAUGAACGUUUAAGAUUAGGUUAAAACAUUCCUCUGAAAUUUUAGUAUUCACUUUUGAAGUGUCAAUUACUAUAUUUCUGUAAUUUCUCAUUUUUUUCUUGGCUUAGAGUCAAGAUGAAAAAUGAUAUUUGAAUCAAAGACAUUGUUUUGUUAUAUAGCCACUCCUUUCUAAAAUGCAAAUCCACCCUCCCCUCACCAAUGCUUUAUUCUUUGUGCGCGCACACACACACACACACACACACACACACACACACACACACAGACAUACACAGAACCAGCACCCAAAUGGUAGAGGAGGUCCUUCCAAGACUUCUAGGACCUGGAUCAUGUAAGCAGUAGAUGAGAAAAUGAAGUAAGAGAUAUAGAGUAAUAACAAUAAAAGUCAAUGAUUUCAUUUUACAAAAAAGUCAUUGUGUAGUACUCAGAUAUUUUUAAGAGCAAGUAUUAUUAUGACUAAAGUAUAUUAUACUUCUAAAUUAUUAUGAUUCUCAUCUAAUUUCAAGCCACACAUAGGCGCCAUUUGAAAGCAUUUUGUGUUACAACCUAUCAACAAAAAUCAACUAAUAGUUUUAUAACGUGCAUAGGUUUACCCCAUGGGGAAUUAAAAUUUUUAUCUGCAAGUAUUUCUGUUGUUGUGAGACUUUAGGACAAGACAACAUUUGGUGUUAACAUAGAAGAAUAUUCUAUGGCUUUUUUAGCUUUAAAGUUCAUUACUCUAAAAUAAAGUACACGUGGUAUUUUUUUCUUCCUAGUGUUCUCUUAUUAUAUGUAGAGUAUUUUCGGUUGUUGUUUUUAACGUAUACAUUAUUUUUAUUAAGUCAUUUCAUAAAAGAUAAGAUAUAUACUAAUAGACCCUUGGUUUUCUCCUAAUUUAAUUAUUUCAAGUCAAGCAAAAUUGGGCAAUUUUCUUUCAGGAAAAAAAAAAUAUUGAGCAUGAUUUUGAGGUAAAACUGAUUAUUUACAGCAUCUUUUCUCUAAUAGGCUAACAUUUAUGAUGGAUCUUAUUUCAAAGUUGAUUAUUCUCAAAGAAAAGUGGAGAUAUUAGAAUUUCCGAGUAAAUUGCAUUGUUUUAAAAAGUACUUUAAUGCAUUGUUCACAUUGUUGCCAGCUAUUGACCAAAAAAGAGAAGAAGAAAAAAGAAAUAAAAAAAGCAGUAUCUGCUCCAAACGUCAAGUUUUGCAGUUUGAAAGACUUGUACAUUAUAAUUGUUUUUUUCUUUUUUGGAAAGCAGUAGUAAUUAAUACCAAAGGCAUAGACAAUUUAGGGCCAUAACCUCCCUUCCCCCCUCUCCACCUUUUUUUUUUUUUUUUUUUUUUUUUAACUUUAACCAUGAUAGGCAUCUCUGCAAGGUAGGUUUUAACAUAUUUUUUUCCUAAUUUUUUUCCCUCCAUUCAGUAAGAAGGAUAAGCUUUUAGAGUACCCAGUCACCGUGGUAACUGCCAAAAAAAUUCUCCUGAAGUUUGAAGAGGUCAGCUAGCAGGGUCAACAACCCUGGCCUCUCUCUGAGCUCGGUCUAGCAUGCCCCAGCCUGCGGUUGGAGUGUCAGGCCAGAUCUGACCCUGGGAGGUGGACCAUUCUGGCUCUGAUAUAAAUUUUUCGAGUCAGUUCAUGGCCUGGACUCUCCAGGUGGCCUCCAAAAUCGAUUUUGACCCCCUGACCCUGUCUCACGGAGGCAUAGCAUCCACCCUAAGUAAGGAUUUAGCCAGGAAUGACAGCUUUCCACUGAGUGUUAUUGGGGACAGUAUAAACAGUUUGGAAAGCAAGUAAGGAGGUGUGAGGGCUAGCAAUCAUUAAAAGCACAUUAAAAAACAAUUUUUAAAAAUCUUUAUUAGAGAAAGUUGUAAAUGCAUAUCUGUUACAGAAUUCCUGUGAUUUGUAGAGUUUUCUAGUCAGUUUUGAAUAUAAAUAGGUCACAUAUCUUUAUCUUUUUGCAUACUUUGUUACAAAUAUGCAAAUAAGAUAGGCAUACUUGCUACAAAAUAGGUACAGCAGGAAUGUAAUAUGUUCAGAAAAGGCAAACUGGUUAUUAAAACACAUUAACAGGUAAGGAGUUUCUAAUAUUUUAAAUACUAAAAUUUUACAUGUGUAUUUUGAAGUUUUUAAAAUGGAAAAAUAAAGAACCUUUAAAAAACCCAACAGUGUGGAAUAAAGAUAAACUUGUUGCACUCAAGGUACAUUUCUACUUUGUAAAGCAAGAAGCCAAUACACUCAGUUGGAUAAAAAUGAGAGAAAAAUUGUAAAUAUAGAGAGUUACAGCUUAUAGAGCUGAAGAGGAAUAAAACAAAAAAAAGUGUCUCUGAAUAACUUUAUGUAUUUUCAACAGUUUAAGAUAUCAGAAACUUGGAAAAUAA
Molecule: long non-coding RNA, 3812 nt
Filed under: Homo sapiens (human)
Lineage: Eukaryota; Metazoa; Chordata; Mammalia; Primates; Hominidae
Description: HSALNT0316547
Rfam family: SOX2 overlapping transcript exon 3 (bases 548-823)
Source: RNAcentral